Long non-coding RNA from Misgurnus anguillicaudatus (oriental weatherfish), 4484 nucleotides. RefSeq lists it as uncharacterized. The record is from RefSeq and is a predicted model, not a curated record. NCBI's taxonomy places the organism in Eukaryota, Metazoa, Chordata, Actinopteri, Cypriniformes, Cobitidae.
UUCCAUACUUUACUUUAAGAGUGUCAGAUAAAUAGUAUAUGAUGCAUUGUUGUUCCUGUAUUGAUCAAAGAGAUACGUCACAGGCUUGCCUGUUCAGCAAGAAUUUCCUCGAGGUUGGUCAUUUUCGGAUGCGGAGCCGCGCACGCAGUUACAAAAAUUGCUGUGCACCCAACGCGCAUGACCACCCACUCCACGUUGACGUAAUUUUGCCGCGUGCACCAACACGCUUAUGCGGACGCGUCAAGUAUAAACAAAGCUUCAGGCUACGCAGGGCUACGGAUAACUUACGGCGUAGCUACGGCAUAGACCUUACAAUACACACGACUAUAAAUUGGACUUUACAUUUGUGACAUUUACAGAUCAAAUCCUAUACAUCCCGAUGUGCUCACAAGUGAAUCAUAUCAAACUUGGUUGAUAUCGAGGAUUUUAAAUUGGAAUGAAACAUUUGAUACACGUAGCUUAAGUAAUGCUAUAUAAAGAAUAUAAAAAUAUUUUCACAGCUGAUAUUGGUAAUGUAGAUGUAUUUUGUAAUAAUACCAUGUAAACUACAUAGUUCAUCAUUUUCCGUGCAUCUAAUGUAUUUAUUAAUAUGUUUUUAUUGUAGAGCUGCUUUGCAAUAUUGCAAAAUUCUCUAAUAAAUGAGAUUUUAUCAAUUGUAUUUAGUGCAAAUGUGUGGCUUCAACCCGUUUGUUCACACACAUUUAUUUUCUGCUGUGUGUUGAGGAAUGAAUGCAUGAUUUUUCUUCAGUCUGAGCGUUGAAUGUCCUCUGCUUUUCUGACCUAUUUCUCUCCGGCAGCUGUGAUUCAGAUGGAUUUUUUAUGAGAAGUGUUCACUGUAAACUCAAAUCCGGCUAAAUAAACAUUUAAUCACUUCAGAAGGCACAGAAUCGCUUCGAUACGCCCUAAACUCUCUCUAACCCGCUGAAGUGAGUGACCCAGUUUACUGACAGUCAUAUAAUGUACACACAGGAAGAGGAAACUAGCGGCUCCACCAGCACAAUAACUCUCCCUUCAGAGGAUUGUGUUCACAGGAAUUCUUCAUCCAAAAUAAACAUUUAUUUACUAACCCUCACGCUCUUUCACAACCGCAUGCUUUUCUCUGUAACACAAAGUACAAAUGUAUUAUAUGGACUGGAAAGUAAACUAUUCAUAGAUUUAAAGCUCUCGAGAAUAAUACGUGAUUUAAUCCUGUUUUUUUUGUUUUGUUUUCCAGCCUUUGAAAAACAAAGUAGUUGCAAGUAGAGGUCUUCUUGGGUCUAAAGAAAUGUACCCGACCCAAAAUGACCCCGAAUCACUUUAAACCUGAACCUGACAUGCAUAAAUCUUUAUUUUUUAAAAAGAAAGACCCAACCUGAGACAAUGCCAAAAAAAAUUAGGAAAAGGACUCGAUGCAGCUCAUUUUUGGUAAAUUAUUCCUCUAAUCUCUUACUUUAAAUGUGGGAAUAUCUCUCUAAAUCUCUCUCUUUCUCCUUGCACUGUAAAAAAAAGCAGCAUGAAGUUAAUUCAAUCUAGUAUUUUAAGUUUUGACCUGUGAUAAGUUGACAUAACUUAUAAAACAAGUUGAAAUUGUUUAAUUUUUUAAGUUAAAGUAACACAAAAAUAUGUUGAUUUGACAAAUACGCUGCAUUUUUUACAGUGUGCAUAAUUCAUCUGACAGAUCAAUUUAAUUAUCUUUUUUUUUUAAAUUGGCAAUUUUAAAGUGCAAAACAAAACAUCACAUGAGAUGCUGUUUCGUACCGUGUCCAGUCUGAUGUGAUUGUAUUUGUUGUUUUGCAAAAUUACUUCAAAACGUGCAUCCUGUAAUAUACACAAUGAGUAAGAUUAGCAUGUUCAAAUGUUUACAAUAAUUUAAAUAUUUUUAUGUGUGCUUGAGAGAUUUAUUAAAAUGAUUACACAUUUGCAUACGAGAUUAUGUCACUGUCGGUGCUCAAGUGAUGCUUUGCAACAGCAGAUUCACAAAAUCUUUUAGUAGUGAUGCACUUGAUGUAUCGGCCACCUAUAUUUAUCGGCCGAUUUUUUAUGAAUUUAUAACCAUCAGCAUAUCGGCAAUAGCACGAGAAAGGCCGAUACCGAUUGUUUAUUAAUUAACUGUAUAAAGAAAUCCAUUAUAUGUAAAAAAUGAGUUAAUGUUGUUAAUAAAAUAAAUGCUGAAUAGCAAAAAUUACCUUUGAAGGUUGUCAUGUUGUCUUAUUAUAUUUGUUUUAGCUUAAUUUGUGCCUCUCUUGUUAUGUUGGUCAGUUGAAUGUUAAUUAGAUCCAAUCCAUGUUCAGUAAAAAAUAUUUGAUGCAAAAAUAAACUAGCUAAUAGACCAACUGUAUAGUAUUGUAUACAAGUGUUUAAUAUCGGUAUCGGCCAGAAGUUGUCUGUUUAAAUCGGUAUCGGUCCAAAAAAAUCCUAUCGGUGCAUCCCUAUCUUUUAGCCAAUCGAAUGCUGCCUCAGCCUGGAUACGACCUCUGCAUGUUUGAGCCAUGACCUUCACAGAGGUCACAUGUGUUCCUCUUGCUCACUUGGUAGAGCAUUAAUGAUAUCUUAAAGGGAUAGUUCACCCAAAAAUGAAAAUUGUGUCAUCAUUGAUUCACUCAUAUGUUGUUACAAACUUUGUUCUGAUGACCACAAAGGAAGAUAUUUUGAGAAAUUUUGAUACCAAACUGAUCAUGAGCCCCAUUCACUUCCAUAGCAUUCUUUUGUCCUACUAUGUAAGGCAAUGGUGCCCCAGAUCUGCUUGUUUGCAAACAUUUUUUCAAAAUAUCUUCAUUUGUGUUCAUCAUAUUUAUACAGGUUUGUAACAACAUGAGAGAGAGAAAAUGAUGACAGAAUUUUCAUUUUUAGUCCCUUUUAUCACUUUGGAUUGAAGCAUCUGCCAAAUGCAUAAAAUGCAAAUCCAAAUGUAUGAGCGCAGGACACACGUCUCUGUGAUAGUAUGUGUAUGAUGUCUAAAAAAUGCUCUUUAAAAAUCUCUGCCCUAACAGGAUGACACAGACACCGAGGUGAGGUCAGCCGUCACAUGUUGCAGUCGUCUCUCAUUGACGGCUGAGAUCUGAUGCCCACGUGCGGGACAGAACAGAUGCCCCUGAAUGAGGAGCUCAAUGACAAAAGAGACGUCAGGCGGAUUCAAACUUCCUCCGUCAGGACACAUCCUACAUCAUGCCGGUGAAUCAGAGGCCAAAUACAGUCAAAAUAAUAGGAAGUGCUGGGCCUUGAAUUUUAUCCCCCAGAUUCACAAACUUUCAAGGAUUUCAAGGACCCGUUGUGUGCUGAUAAUGAAACAGCGCCACUACAGUGGCGUAAUGCGUCAACUGCAGUUACAAAUGACAAUUCGCAGUGCAACGAUUGUUCAUGUUUUUCGAAACACAUGAAAUUUGGUGGAGGUGGCCGCCUCAAAAUUCUCUAAACCCUGAAUAUAAAAGAUAAGCUAGAUUAUUAGCUUUAUAUCUCACCCUAUCUACAGGUACUAUGAUACUUAUCCAUAUUAUCAUCUAACACUAUUACUGUAUCAUAGUACCACCACAGUGUUUUUGUAAAGGCUAUUUUUUUAACUGGCGUUGGUUGGAUCAUUGUGAAUUUCCCUUACAUGCUACAUAAAAAAAACAUCCAGAGUAGAUAUAUCUCAUUUAAAUAUAGCCGUGAAAUAAAUGAGUGCAGUGAACUCAUGGCUAUCAGAACAGGAAUUCCGACAGGGGAGAUUUCCUGGCUGCUCGACAGAUAUGUGAAGGAUUUCAGUCACGUGUAAGACACUUCCUAUUGGUCGUGAAGGUCGGGGGGGAGGUGCCGUAAGCUUUUCCACUCGGGAAUUCCAUCCACAACAUUCCAGCAAACACAGUCACACCACCAAGAAAGCAUGAGAUUCGUACCUCCAGUUCUGUCUCCCAGCGGUUGAUGUUAUCUGUGGACUGAUUCAGUCUCUCCAGUUCACCCUGUUGAAGAGAUCAAAUCAUACACAGAGAGUUGAAAUCGCAGCCGGAUCUUUUGCGGUGUCAGCACAGCUGGAACAAGUUAUCCACAACAUGUAACCUAACACUGAAAUAAAGCUCAUGUUUAUGUUUCCUCCUACACACAUAAUGUUUCAGGCUCAUGAGUUUAAGAAAAGAACGAAUGUAUUAACUUGCACAUGCCAAAAAAUAUAGAUUUAUACCACUGACCUAUUUUCCAUAGAUAUUUUAUAAAUAUGACAUUGAUAUUAAACACGCUCUUUUAAACCACACUAGAAAAGAAAAAUGACACAAGCUUUGGUUAUAAAACUAAAGAUUUUUUUUAAAAUGAAGAGAAAAUAUUAAUUUUAUACAUAUUUGACCCUGGACCACAAAAGUAAGCAUGGAUAUAUUUGUAGCAAUAGCCAACAAACAUUGUAUGGGUCAAAAUUAUCAAUGUUUUUUAAGCUAGACAUUAUUAGUAUAUUAAGUAAAGAUCAUGUUUCAUGAGGAUAUUUUGUAAAUGUUCUACCAUAAAUAUAUAAAAAAAUUUAUUUAUUUAUCAUUAAUAAUAAG